This 497-nucleotide ribosomal RNA is filed under the name uncultured bacterium. Its description in RNAcentral is "partial 16S ribosomal RNA". It matches the Rfam family "Bacterial small subunit ribosomal RNA", at positions 28 to 507 of the family's 1533-position model. The record is from RNAcentral.
GAUGAACGCUGGCGGCGCGCCUAAUACAUGCAAGUCGAGCGAACGGACGAGAAGCUUGCUUUUCUGAUGUUAGCGGCGGACGGGUGAGUAACACGUGGAUAACCUACCUAUAAGACUGGGAUAACUUCGGGAAACCGGAGCUAAUACCGGAUAAUAUUUUGAACCGCAUGGUUCAAAAGUGAAAGACGGUCUUGCUGUCACUUAUAGAUGGAUCCGCGCUGCAUUAGCUAGUUGGUAAGGUAACGGCUUACCAAGGCAACGAUGCAUAGCCGACCUGAGAGGGUGAUAGGCCACACUGGAACUGAGACACGGUCCAGACUCCUACGGGAGGCAGCAGUAGGGAAUCUUCCGCAAUGGGCGAAAGCCUGACGGAGCAACGCCGCGUGAGUGAUGAAGGUCUUCGGAUCGUAAAACUCUGUUAUUAGGGAAGAACAUAUGUGUAAGUAACUGUGCACAUCUUGACGGUACCUAAUCAGAAAGCCACGGCUAACUACGUG